Molecule: unclassified non-coding RNA, 2156 nt
Filed under: Hevea brasiliensis (rubber tree)
Lineage: Eukaryota; Viridiplantae; Streptophyta; Magnoliopsida; Malpighiales; Euphorbiaceae
Source: RNAcentral
AUUGGAAGUUAUCUUAUCAGGCUAAUACAGAAGGGCAAAGCACAAUCUGGGACAGGGUUUGGAAUUGGAUUCUCAAAUCACACAGUUUCUGGAGAAUUUUAUUUCCCAAAUCACAAGAGCUCGUUGAAUCAUCAGCUCGGGGAUACAAUAAGAUCAGAUACGUGAUAUGGCGAAUCUCUAUGUGAAGGCGGUUCCGCCGGCGGAUCUGAACAGGAACACCGAGUGGUUCAUGUACCCAGGGGUGUGGACUACCUACAUACUCAUCUUGUUCUUCUCCUGGCUUCUCGUGCUCUCCAUCUUUGGCUGCUCUCCUGGCAUGGCCUGGACCAUCGUCAAUCUCGCCCACUUCUGUAUCACUUAUCACUUCUUCCACUGGAAGAAGGGAACACCAUUUGCAGAAGACCAGGGGAUAUAUAAUAGGCUAACUUGGUGGGAACAGAUAGAUAAUGGACAGCAGCUUACACGCAACAGAAAGUUCCUAACAGUUGUUCCUGUGGUGUUGUAAGCUCUCUAUUUUUUAGUUUUAACUUUAUGAAUGCUUGCAUUGCGCCAGUAACCUUUUUAAUUUCUUCUUUCUCUGCAGACUUAUUCACAGUUUCCAAUAAGUAUGCAUGUUCAGCAAUGUUUUCUUGAGUUGCUUUAUUUUCUUUUUGUAACCUUUGGAAUUUGAUAAUGUUCAUGUUGAAUGUCUGAUUGUAUAAAUGUAUGAAAAUCAUUGUUAAGUCAUUCAGCUCUGGGCUAAUUGGGAAAAUCAUUGUUAAGUCAUAUGUUAAGGGCUGAGUUUUUAUAUCACAUUGUUGUUGUCUGUGGAGUAAAAUUUGAAUUAAAUUGCAUGGCAAUUGGCAAUUGCUUGUAAUGGGAAUUCAUACAAUAUAAUGACUUUCCAUUAAGUUAUAUGUCAGAAUUCAUGUUGGGUUAGAUUGCUUCGGAGGAAGAUAGUGCAUGUUACAUGGUUUAGCUUUAAAUAUGGUGGUAGAAUCAAUAUGCAAGUAAUUUGCUAUCUGGUGAAAAUGGAAAAGAGGAUACAAUUUUAUUGUCCAAACCAACGUUUUCCUGUGAUAAACAAAUAAAUCUAUAAAAGGCAGGGUAGACCAUGUUAUGCUAAAGGGACUUUAUUUAUUUCCCACGUCACAUAAAGUAUAUACCAUGUCAAUAAUUCAGAUUUUUUCUCGAGUUUGAAUUGUUGUGAGCUAGACUAAAAGGGCAUAGUCAGUCAACAUUUAUGCUUGAUAUCUAGUUGUAUGAUCGCUCGACCUUACAUCUAUUAGCAUAUUUCCUACCUCUUGCGUUGACUUGUUCAAAGUUUGUAAUUGAGGUACCAGCUGGGGGUUGGUUUAGUUAGUACGCUUGCAGGCAAUUGCAAGUAAGGGCGAUGGAUUUGGUACCCUUUAUCUAAGGACCAAAAACAGUUGAGAGUUCUAAUUGUGAGUCUCUGGUAUGAUUGCUUGUCUUUUUCUGUUUUAAAGUCAAAAAUAUACACAAGAUACCCUUUUCUCUUCCCGUUAAAUGUAUAUUUUAGUUGCAUUACUGUUGUAUGCUUUUUUGAAUUAUUAAAAAACAAUCAUAUUCUCAGAUAAUUAAUGGAUUGUAUAUGGUUAUUGUUUAGGUCACUUUAUGCAUUAAUCUUGAAUUUUACUGCAAUGUUUGAGAUUGAAGUUAUGCUUACGUUUCCUCUCUGCCAGGUACUUGAUAGCCUCACACACGACCGACUAUCAACAUCCAAUGCUCUUCUUCAACACACUUGCAGUGAUAGUGCUCGUUAUUGCCAAGUUCCCAAAUAUGCACAAGGUUCGGAUCUUUGGAAUUAAUGCAGACACGUGAGCUGGACUUGUGUUAAAAAUGGUUGUUUUAGCCUGUUUAAAAGCCACUGUUCACUGAUCCAUCUGCUGCUCAGCUUAAAGGUUGUAUCUCUGUGUAGAAAUCAGAACUGGAAGGCUGUUUGAAUAUGUAAUGUUUUUAUGCUACUUUUACAAGCCAUCUCAGAUGAUGAUAAAAUAAAAGUAUCAGGUUAUCUUUGUACAGUAGAGAAAGUUUUAUAUCCUUAGACGUAUUAAAAUUUUUUACUUUAUUAUCAGUGUCAUUUUUUUAAUGUUUUCUUGUACAACAGAACUCGAAUCUCAUAAAUGCCUUGAGUUACAUCAUUUCAACCUGCAAAA